GAUGAGCAUCCUGAUAUGUGGCUCGAGAGUGUGCCUUCCGAUUAUGUGCUCUAAAGGGGUACCACUGGCUACAAAUUGACGGAUUAUAGACUUGUACACUUUAAGUGUACUAUAUGACUAUCCAUCGAUAUUUCAAAUAAAUUCAACGGGCAAAGUUCUGACAGGGUUAAAUAUGAACUAAAGAUAAGUUGUCAUGGAAUGAAAUAUGAGAUAUGGAAAUAUGACAUGAAAAUAAAUUAUUUUUACAUGUAUCUGCC
Molecule: long non-coding RNA, 257 nt
Filed under: Gossypium barbadense (sea-island cotton)
Lineage: Eukaryota; Viridiplantae; Streptophyta; Magnoliopsida; Malvales; Malvaceae
Description: long non-coding RNA (GBAR_LNC012047)
Source: RNAcentral